Long non-coding RNA from Chelonia mydas (Green sea turtle), 378 nucleotides. RefSeq lists it as uncharacterized. Lineage: Eukaryota; Metazoa; Chordata; Testudines; Cheloniidae. The transcript is spliced from 4 exons. The record is from RefSeq and is a predicted model, not a curated record.
GGCUAGAACACCAGGGCAAGGGAGACGUGGCUUCCAGUCUCUGCUCCACCACAAACUCCUCCAAGACCUUGGGCGCAUUACAAGUGAAGAAAAAUGGACUGAGAUGGAUGUCUAGAAACAAUGAGUCUACACCCACCACCUCAGUAGUACAGUUGCCUAAGAAGGCAGAAGGUGGCAGGAUCCAGAUGACCAAAGCCAGCGAUGGACUGAUGAACUCCGACCGUGGACAGCAAAUGAAAUGGACAGUAAUCAGAGAGGGGAGGUCUGAUGUCCUAUAAACUCCUGUCCGCAUCCUCCCCUGGCAAGAUCUCAGUUCAGAGAUACAGCCUUCGAAGCUGAGGUUCCCUUCUGAAUCAUCACAGGAUCGUGUGCCACUGU